Molecule: ribosomal RNA, 1406 nt
Filed under: uncultured bacterium
Lineage: Bacteria
Description: bacterial SSU rRNA
Rfam family: Bacterial small subunit ribosomal RNA
Source: RNAcentral
AGUUGAGCGCUGAAGGUUGGUACUUGUACCAACUGGAUGAGCAGCGAACGGCUGAGUAACGCGUGGGGAAUCUGCCUUUGAGCGGGGGACAACAUUUGGAAACGAAUGCUAAUACCGCAUAAAAACUUUAAACACAAGUUUUAAGUUUGAAAGAUGCAAUUGCAUCACUCAAAGAUGAUCCCGCGUUGUAUUAGCUAGUUGGUGAGGUAAAGGCUCACCAAGGCGAUGAUACAUAGCCGACCUGAGAGGGUGAUCGGCCACAUUGGGACUGAGACACGGCCCAAACUCCUACGGGAGGCAGCAGUAGGGAAUCUUCGGCAAUGGACGAAAGUCUGACCGAGCAACGCCGCGUGAGUGAAGAAGGUUUUCGGAUCGUAAAACUCUGUUGGUAGAGAAGAACGUUGGUGAGAGUGGAAAGCUCAUCAAGUGACGGUAACUACCCAGAAAGGGACGGCUAACUACGUGCCAGCAGCCGCGGUAAUACGUAGGUCCCGAGCGUUGUCCGGAUUUAUUGGGCGUAAAGCGAGCGCAGGUGGUUUAUUAAGUCUGGUGUAAAAGGCAGUGGCUCAACCAUUGUAUGCAUUGGAAACUGGUAGACUUGAGUGCAGGAGAGGAGAGUGGAAUUCCAUGUGUAGCGGUGAAAUGCGUAGAUAUAUGGAGGAACACCGGUGGCGAAAGCGGCUCUCUGGCCUGUAACUGACACUGAGGCUCGAAAGCGUGGGGAGCAAACAGGAUUAGAUACCCUGGUAGUCCACGCCGUAAACGAUGAGUGCUAGAUGUAGGGAGCUAUAAGUUCUCUGUACCGCAGCUAACGCAAUAAGCACUCCGCCUGGGGAGUACGACCGCAAGGUUGAAACUCAAAGGAAUUGACGGGGGCCCGCACAAGCGGUGGAGCAUGUGGUUUAAUUCGAAGCAACGCGAAGAACCUUACCAGGUCUUGACAUACUCGUGCUAUUCCUAGAGAUAGGAAGUUCCUUCGGGACACGGGAUACAGGUGGUGCAUGAUUGUCGUCAGCUCGUGUCGUGAGAUGUUGGGUUAAGUCCCGCAACGAGCGCACCCCCUAUUGUUAGUUGCCAUCAUUAAGUUGGGCACUCUAACGAGACUGCCGGUGAUAAACCGGAGGAAGGUGGGGAUGACGUCAAAUCAUCAUGCCCCUUAUGACCUGGGCUACACACGUGCUACAAUGGAUGGUACAACGAGUCGCGAGACAGUGAUGUUUAGCUAAUCUCUUAAAACCAUUCUCAGUUCGGAUUGUAGGCUGCAACUCGCCUACAUGAAGUCGGAAUCGCUAGUAAUCGCGGAUCAGCACGCCGCGGUGAAUACGUUCCCGGGCCUUGUACACACCGCCCGUCACACCACGGGAGUUGGGAGUACCCGAAGUAGGUUGCCUAACCGCAAGGAGGGC